UCUCCUAUAGCUCAGAUGGGUAGAGCGUGCGGCUGUUAUUCUCAAGGUCGCUGGGUUCAAACCCCAGCUGGGAGAG
This 76-nucleotide transfer RNA is filed under the name Phytophthora infestans T30-4. Its description in RNAcentral is "tRNA-Asn for anticodon GUU". It matches the Rfam family "tRNA". From Rfam's summary of the family: Transfer RNA (tRNA) molecules are approximately 80 nucleotides in length. Their secondary structure includes four short double-helical elements and three loops (D, anti-codon, and T loops). Lineage: Eukaryota; Oomycota; Peronosporomycetes; Peronosporales; Peronosporaceae. The record is from RNAcentral.